RNAcentral lists this ribosomal RNA (496 nucleotides) under uncultured bacterium. Its description in RNAcentral is "bacterial SSU rRNA". It matches the Rfam family "Bacterial small subunit ribosomal RNA", at positions 36 to 507 of the family's 1533-position model. The record is from RNAcentral.
CUGGCGGCGUGCCUAACACAUGCAAGUCGAACGAAGCACUGUCGAAUGAGGAUUCGUCUGAAUUUGGCUUUGACUUAGUGGCGGACGGGUGAGUAAUGCGUGAGCAACCUGCCUUUCAGAGGGGGACAACAGUUGGAAACGACUGCUAAUACCGCAUGACAUAUUGAGAUCGCAUGGUUUUGAUAUUAAAGAUUUAUCGCUGAAAGAUGGGCUCACGUCUGAUUAGUUAGUUGGUGGGGUAAAGGCCUACCAAGACCAUGAUACGUAGCCGACCUGAGAGGGUGAUCGGCCACACUGGGACUGAGACACGGCCCAGACUCCUACGGGAGGCAGCAGUAGGGAAUCUUCCACAAUGGGUGAAAACCUGAUGGAGCAAUGCCGCGUGAAUGAAGAAGGUCUUCGGAUCGUAAAGUUCUGUUAUUAGAGAAGAACAAGUCAAGGAGUAACUGUCUUGACUUUGACGGUACCUAACCAGAAAGUCACGGCUAACUACGUG